Molecule: ribosomal RNA, 776 nt
Filed under: uncultured bacterium
Lineage: Bacteria
Description: bacterial SSU rRNA
Rfam family: Bacterial small subunit ribosomal RNA
Source: RNAcentral
GUCGAGGGGCAGCGGGGUAGUGCUUGCACUACUGCCGGCGACCGGCGCACGGGUGAGUAACACGUAUGGAACCUGCCCGCAGCAGGGGGAUAAGCGGAAGAAAUUCCGUCUAAUACCGCGUAACAACGUUGGGAGGCAUCUCCCGAUGUUUAAAGAUUUAUCGGCUGCGGAUGGCCAUGCGGCGCAUUAGCUAGUCGGCGGGGUAGCGGCCCACCGAGGCGACGAUGCGUAGGGGUUCUGAGAGGAAGGUCCCCCACACUGGUACUGAGACACGGACCAGACUCCUACGGGAGGCAGCAGUGAGGAAUAUUGGUCAAUGGCCGAGAGGCUGAACCAGCCAAGUCGCGUGAGGGAAGACGGCCCUACGGGUUGUAAACCUCUUUUGUCGGGGAGCAAAGAGAGCCACGUGUGGCUCAUUGAGAGUACCCGAAGAAAAAGCAUCGGCUAACUCCGUGCCAGCAGCCGCGGUAAUACGGAGGAUGCGAGCGUUAUCCGGAUUUAUUGGGUUUAAAGGGUGCGCAGGCGGAGGUGCAAGUCAGCGGUCAAAUUGCGGGGCUCAACCCCGUACUGCCGUUGAAACUGCAUCCCUUGAGUGCGCGAGAAGUAUGCGGAAUGCGUGGUGUAGCGGUGAAAUGCAUAGAUAUCACGCAGAACUCCGAUUGCGAAGGCAGCAUACCGGCGCGCAACUGACGCUCAUGCACGAAAGCGUGGGUAUCGAACAGGAUUAGAUACCCUGGUAGUCCACGCAGUAAACGAUGAACACUAACUGUUCGGCC